This 301-nucleotide ribosomal RNA is filed under the name uncultured bacterium. Its description in RNAcentral is "partial 16S ribosomal RNA". It matches the Rfam family "Bacterial small subunit ribosomal RNA", at positions 509 to 807 of the family's 1533-position model. The record is from RNAcentral.
CAGCCGCCGCGGGAAUACGUAGGUGGCAAGCGUUGUCCGGAAUUACUGGGCGUAAAGCGCACGUAGGCGGAUAUUUAAGUCAGGGGUGAAAUCCCAGAGCUCAACUCUGGAACUGCCUUUGAUACUGGGUAUCUUGAGUAUGGAAGAGGUGAGUGGAAUUCCGAGUGUAGAGGUGAAAUUCGCAGAUAUUCGGAGGAACACCAGUGGCGAAGGCGGCUCACUGGUCCAUUACUGACGCUGAGGUGCGAAAGCGUGGGGAGCAAACAGGAUUAGAUACCCCUGUAGUCCCUGUCUCUUAUAC